GGGUUGUGAGGUUAAGCGACUAAGCGUACACGGUGGAUGCCCUGGCAGUCAGAGGCGAUGAAGGACGUGCUAAUCUGCGAAAAGCGCCGGCGAGGUGAUAUGAACCUUUGACCCGGCGAUGUCCGAAUGGGGAAACCCAGUGUGAUUCGUCACACUAUCGUUAACUGAAUACAUAGGUUAACGAGGCGAACCGGGGGAACUGAAACAUCUAAGUACCCCGAGGAAAAGAAAUCAACCGAGAUUCCCCCAGUAGCGGCGAGCGAACGGGGAGCAGCCCAGAGUCUGAAUCAGCUUGUGUGUUAGUGGAAGCGUCUGGAAAGUCGCACGGUACAGGGUGACAGUCCCGUACACGAAAGCACACAGGCUGUGAACUCGAAGAGUAGGGCGGGACACGUGGUAUCCUGUCUGAAUAUGGGGGGACCAUCCUCCAAGGCUAAAUACUCCUGACUGACCGAUAGUGAACCAGUACCGUGAGGGAAAGGCGAAAAGAACCCCGGCGAGGGGAGUGAAAAAGAACCUGAAACCGUGUACGUACAAGCAGUGGGAGCCUCUUUUAUGGGGUGACUGCGUACCUUUUGUAUAAUGGGUCAGCGACUUAUAUUCUGUAGCAAGGUUAACCGUAUAGGGGAGCCGAAGGGAAACCGAGUCUUAACUGGGCGUUAAGUUGCAGGGUAUAGACCCGAAACCCGGUGAUCUAGCCAUGGGCAGGUUGAAGGUUGGGUAACACUAACUGGAGGACCGAACCGACUAAUGUUGAAAAAUUAGCGGAUGACUUGUGGCUGGGGGUGAAAGGCCAAUCAAACCGGGAGAUAGCUGGUUCUCCCCGAAAGCUAUUUAGGUAGCGCCUCGUGAACUCAUCUUCGGGGGUAGAGCACUGUUUCGGCUAGGGGGCCAUCCCGGCUUACCAACCCGAUGCAAACUACGAAUACCGAAGAAUGUUAUCACGGGAGACACACGGCGGGUGCUAACGUCCGUCGUGAAGAGGGAAACAACCCAGACCGCCAGCUAAGGUCCCAAAGUCAUGGUUAAGUGGGAAACGAUGUGGGAAGGCACAGACAGCCAGGAUGUUGGCUUAGAAGCAGCCAUCAUUUAAAGAAAGCGUAAUAGCUCACUGGUCGAGUCGGCCUGCGCGGAAGAUGUAACGGGGCUAAACCAUGCACCGAAGCUGCGGCAGCGACGCUUAUGCGUUGUUGGGUAGGGGAGCGUUCUGUAAGCCGUUGAAGGUGUCCUGUGAGGGGUGCUGGAGGUAUCAGAAGUGCGAAUGCUGACAUAAGUAACGAUAAAGCGGGUGAAAAGCCCGCUCGCCGGAAGACCAAGGGUUCCUGUCCAACGUUAAUCGGGGCAGGGUGAGUCGACCCCUAAGGCGAGGCCGAAAGGCGUAGUCGAUGGGAAACAGGUUAAUAUUCCUGUACUUGGUGUUACUGCGAAGGGGGGACGGAGAAGGCUAUGUUAGCCGGGCGACGGUUGUCCCGGUUUAAGCAUGUAGGCGGAGGUUCCAGGUAAAUCCGGUUCCUUAUUAACGCUGAGGUGUGAUGACGAGGCACUACGGUGCUGAAGUAACAAAUGCCCUGCUUCCAGGAAAAGCCUCUAAGCAUCAGGUAACAUCAAAUCGUACCCCAAACCGACACAGGUGGUCAGGUAGAGAAUACCAAGGCGCUUGAGAGAACUCGGGUGAAGGAACUAGGCAAAAUGGUGCCGUAACUUCGGGAGAAGGCACGCUGAUAUGUAGGUGAAGCCCCUGCGGGUGGAGCUGAAAUCAGUCGAAGAUACCAGCUGGCUGCAACUGUUUAUUAAAAACACAGCACUGUGCAAACACGAAAGUGGACGUAUACGGUGUGACGCCUGCCCGGUGCCGGAAGGUUAAUUGAUGGGGUUAGCGGUAACGCGAAGCUCUUGAUCGAAGCCCCGGUAAACGGCGGCCGUAACUAUAACGGUCCUAAGGUAGCGAAAUUCCUUGUCGGGUAAGUUCCGACCUGCACGAAUGGCGUAAUGAUGGCCAGGCUGUCUCCACCCGAGACUCAGUGAAAUUGAACUCGCUGUGAAGAUGCAGUGUACCCGCGGCAAGACGGAAAGACCCCGUGAACCUUUACUAUAGCUUGACACUGAACACUGGUCCUUGAUGUGUAGGAUAGGUGGGAGGCUUUGAAGCGUGGACGCCAGUCUGCGUGGAGCCAACCUUGAAAUACCACCCUUUAAUGGCUGGUGUUCUAACGUAGACCCGUGAUCCGGGUUGCGGACAGUGUCUGGUGGGUAGUUUGACUGGGGCGGUCUCCUCCCAAAGAGUAACGGAGGAGCACGAAGGUUAGCUAAUCCUGGUCGGACAUCAGGAGGUUAGUGCAAUGGCAUAAGCUAGCUUGACUGCGAGAGUGACGGCUCGAGCAGGUGCGAAAGCAGGUCAUAGUGAUCCGGUGGUUCUGAAUGGAAGGGCCAUCGCUCAACGGAUAAAAGGUACUCCGGGGAUAACAGGCUGAUACCGCCCAAGAGUUCAUAUCGACGGCGGUGUUUGGCACCUCGAUGUCGGCUCAUCACAUCCUGGGGCUGAAGUAGGUCCCAAGGGUAUGGCUGUUCGCCAUUUAAAGUGGUACGCGAGCUGGGUUUAGAACGUCGUGAGACAGUUCGGUCCCUAUCUGCCGUGGGCGCUGGAGAAUUGAGGGGGGCUGCUCCUAGUACGAGAGGACCGGAGUGGACGCAUCACUGGUGUUCGGGUUGUCAUGCCAAUGGCACUGCCCGGUAGCUAAAUGCGGAAGAGAUAAGUGCUGAAAGCAUCUAAGCACGAAACUUGCCCCGAGAUGAGUUCUCCCUGAGACUUUAAGUCUCCUGAAGGAACGUUGAAGACUACGACGUUGAUAGGUCGGGUGUGUAAGCGCAGCGAUGCGUUGAGCUAACCGAUACUAAUGAACCGUGAGGCUUAACCUUACAACGCCGAAG
Molecule: ribosomal RNA, 2928 nt
Filed under: Enterobacter ludwigii
Lineage: Bacteria; Pseudomonadati; Pseudomonadota; Gammaproteobacteria; Enterobacterales; Enterobacteriaceae
Description: 23S ribosomal RNA
Rfam family: Bacterial large subunit ribosomal RNA
Source: RNAcentral